GCCGGGGGAACUUCCAUUUGCCACAGACGUGGCCAUAAAAAAGAAAAAAAAAAAGAAAAAAAAGAAGAAUAGUAUAGAUCUCCUGGUGCUUGCCAGGAUUAAAUGCAUGAAGAUAUGUUGUUUACUUACUUAUUGUCUCUGGUCUCCAAGGCCACCCUUCUACAUACUGUUAUGUGGGGCUGGAUGUUUUCUCACAAUUUUCCAGACUCCUCUGCCAGAUGGCUCUGGUUAGAUCCAGCCAGGGAGAGACCCUGGCAGGAGCCUAGGAGUAGGCGGGAAGGGAGAGAAGGACUUCGCUCUGGUUUCAGUUCCUGCCCACAAUAUGACAGCCGCCAAGGAUGGAAGCACCAACAGCCUCCGGCUCCGUUCAGCUCCCCUGGCCCUGGUCACAGCUUGCUUCGCAGGAGUGCCACCUUCACUGGCUGUGUCCCCUCCGGGUGAUCCCAGCACCAGCUGCCCCACGUCCUCUGAGAGGAUGAUGGCUGCACUCCUGUUAGAAAAUCUAUUGAACCCUCUUCCUGCUUCCCAACUGAGCCCUGAUACAACAUCUGAAGCACUUAGAACAAUAUCCGGCACAUUGUGAGCACGAGGUGAGUGUGAAGUUUUGUAUUUGUCUAAAUAGAUGAAAAAAAGCCAACACUGCCCAUUCGAAUUCUGUGACGGGCACAAGGUGCCUGACGUUCAUCAAGGAUAAUGCAAACUCCACAGUAUAGGAAGAGGCCAGUCUCCUGGGGAAACUGCAAUUCACACCCACAAGUGUCGCUCAAGCACCACCCGCCUCCCCAAGUGUGAUUUAAAGCAAAAGAGGACACAGCUUCCAUAGCAUUAGCAAUUUUUUAUUUUUCCUUUUUUGUUGCAUAGGAAAUGCAGUACUUGCUUCCAGUAAUUGUAUUGUAAUGUGAGAAGGUGGUAGCACUAAUGGUUGAAUACAAGAGUUAAACUAAUCCACACCAGCUCAAAAAACCUGUGGAGAUUUAGUUGAAUAAGAAUGGACGCCCACAGUGAUUCUCAACCAAUUACAAAUUUUCACAGAACACAGUCAAACUAAAAGGGUAACUAUGAGAGUCAAUACAAGUAUCCUAGAGGCACAGGGGGCCCGGCUCAUAAAAAACAAAGGUCAAACCAACUUAUUAACACGGGGGGUGUUUCGUUUCACAACAGAUCUCUUGUCACUGGGAGUGUUUAAUCCCCUUCCCCCCCAAUUUGAAAUGCAAAAACAAUGGAGGUAUCUUGAGUAGAUGGAUUUCCAAGGGUGGUGGGAAAAGUCCCCGGGGAACUUGGUUCUUAGAGAUCAGGGCUGCAGGGGAGGAGGAUCAUGCAUGGGCCUUUGAAAGCCUUCCGAAGGGCCUCCUGGCAUCUGAUAAAGCUCCAGCUCUAGGUCUAGCUAGGACCUCCCGGGCGAUGCUAUCAAAUGCCUUUGUCGUGCAGAAAGGCAGCUGGAGACCAGGGAGAAGGGACUGCUCUCUCAAUCUCCAUCCCAAAGUAGCCAGUGGCCAGGUAGCCUUCGAUUGAGAUGUAUUUUUUUUUUAAAGUGCUAAAUUAUAGACUAUGACUAAAAAAUAUUUUUAAAUAAGAAUAACAAAAUAAAUUCAAAGGGGGUAAAAAAGUUUGUGUCAGUCUGAGAAGCUGAGCACAAAAACAGCAGGAAAAAGAGCCCAAUUUGUCCUUGAAACCACCGUGAAAAGUCACAAAUCCACCCUGCACGCCUGGGGAGUAUUUUCUACCAUGAAGGUGCCCUGGUUGGAUUAGAGUUGGCGCUUCCAUCACAUACUUUUGUGGUCCAGACACACUUUGGAAAUUGUGUGUGUGUGUGUGUUUAAAUUAAAUAGCAUCAGGAGUCCACGUGUGGAAACUCGUGACGCCCGCACACAGGCGAGGUCCUGCCCCCUCAUGCUGCUGCCUCCCCCGUUAUCUAGGCUCUAGCGCAGAUGGUCCCCCCUUAUUUUCUGAGCAUUUCUGGUAUCUGCUCCCCACUUCCCCAUCCCCCUCAUUUGAUUAUAUAACCCUGUGGGGCAUAAAAGGCAGAUGGGUGCUGGCUUAGGGAAAACAAAACAAAACAAAAAAAUGAGAUGAAACAUUUAAUUUGGGAAGCAGUAGUUUCAAAUUUAGACCCCCAAAAAGUUAACACUUAAAAAAAUCCCGUGUUAAUAGCCAAUUUCUUUUUCUUAUGAAUCGGGCCCAAAGUUUGUACAGAGUUUUAUUUUUGAAGAAAAUAUUGCAACUGUGCAUGAAACUAAAUAGCCACGUGAUUUCGUAAAGAAUUUUUUUUUUUUCGUUUUUUUUUUCCUUUUAAUAUGAGGAAGUCUGGUGUGAAGACGGAUCAAGCAUGGGUACCUGGCUGAACACUGUCCAUUAAGAAACCCCCUCAGGAUCAGCAAAGCUUCCGUUGAGGGUGAAGGAAAAUGUCCCUCAUCUGGAAAGGUUCUCGGUGUCUUCAGAGCAGUUCUUGAAAUUCCAAUGGUCGAUUUGAGACACAAGUCUUGCCAGGGACUGAUUUCUGAAACCCAACACCCAUGCUUGUCCCCUAGGAAAAAGAAAACAAAAAACAAAAAAACAAAAAACACAAGUAAUACUGAAUUUAAGUAAAUGUAUACCUCCAAAAUACUGAAAACAGCUGAAAUCAAGAAAAGACAGAAUUUGCGUUCUCAGUGAAAUACCUUUAAACCUAGCUGACAAGAACCAAGUCAGAAAAAAAGACUAACAUAAUUCUGAGUAAUAUUCAUACAGUUCACUAAGCAUUAUGGAAUAGCAUGCAUUAAUAUUGUACGGUUAUCUUACAUCACUUAUACCAGAAGGUCCUGACUGACAGACAGCGAAGGCUACCGGUGUAGAAAAAUCUUACUUCAGAAGAGCAAUAUAAUACAGAUUUCACAGGCACUACAUUUUAAUAUAUCAGGUAUUAUGCUGGUUUUCUUAUAAUUCUUUCUGUCCUAAAGCUGGCAUUAUAACAAUGACCAAAAAGGCAAGGAUUGAAGUAAACGGAGAGUAGAUACCAAAGUUGAUAUAGUUUUGUCUUCAGAUAGAUUAGUGCAUAGUUCUCAUGCAUUUACACUGUUGGAAAGCAGAGUGAAUUGAGCCCAAGUUGUCACAUUUGUGUAAAUCAUUUUGUCAGCCUGUAAUAGCACCAUGUAAUGGAUUUGCAUUAAACAUUAAAUUGAUUUCAGAAUUGGUGACACAGUAUUCACUACAGUUAAGUGCUAUGGAAUAGCUUCAAUGUUACCUGCUAUAUAUCAAAGCAAUUUUCAUCCCACUGCUUUUUUAUUGGAAAAAAUAAAAGGAAAACAUACACGACACUAAUUAGACGAAUGCACAGCCUUGGACGUGGAGAAGGCAGAGCGGGUUUACUGUCAAACAGUAAAUACAUGCAUUGACUUCAGGACGAAAUUGGCCUUGGAAGCUGAUUUGAAUGAAAGCUGUGCCGGGGGGUGGGCAGUGCAGCUUUCUGAGACUGUCUUAUGUCUUAGGACAGAUCUCGGAGGGGGGUGGUGAGGUGCCACUGAAGCUCUCCUUACAUUUCCAUGCCAGUUGUGUGUUUUAAAUUUGUUCUAUGGAGGCCUGCUACCAGGAAAAGAAGAAAAAAAGAAAGAAAGAGAGAGAGAAAGAGAAUGAGAGAAAGAGAGAGAGUGCGAGACCACCACCACGAUGGACAAAAAGGUAUUUCCAGAGACAUGAUGCAAAGGACAAAAAGUGACAUUCUCAGAAACCCGUCCCUCCAAAAAAAAAAAAAUCCAAGGAAAAGAUAUUUUUUUCUUAAUCCAGGUUUCAUAACUGUAACACUGUAACUACAGAGUUCAAAGCCUAUGAGAAUACGGGUUUGAAAAGUGAAAGACACACUUUUUGAAAUGGGCUUUGCAUCUGCCAGAGGGCCGCCUGAAUACCGUGACUCUGGAAAGUUUGCCUUCCUUUCUAUUUCAAUGGUCAGCGUGUGACAAACACAAGUCUCGGGAAGGGUCCCUUGGCUUGCCCCGUAGCCCACGCCUGACUGCGGGGUGGAGCUGACACUGAGUAACUGUCAUGCCAGGAUAUAAAGAAACAGAAAAGUGAGUCCAAACCCCCAAGGAAAGGAAAAGGAGCUGGGAUGGAUAGAGUGGCAUUGAGGAGAGGGCUUCUGCCCAUGAAUGAUCAGACAAGGAGCGUUUCAGUGGUGGGGCGAUGAGCCAGAAAAGAAAACGUAUACAGAAAAAUGAUAUGAUUUAGUGUUUGUGCCUCUGAUGUCUGUCCCCAAGGUGGGGGGUGUGGGGGGAGGAGAAAUGGAGAGUUAUUUGAGGGACUCAUCUUUGCCAGUAUUGUUAAUGCCAUUUGAUGGGAGAGAAAAAAUUCAAAUGUGUCUCAGAAUCAAGGGCUGGGCCUUCAGACACGGAUGGCCCUCAGUCUGUCAGUCUGUACACCCAGGUAGCAAAGUCUUCCUCAAACAUCUUCACUUGACUUUGAGUCUAAAAAAGUUAAACACUUGUAUUGUUGGUGUUUCUUUUUUCCUGCUUGAUCACAACUGAACUACAGUUUCCUGCUGCUUUCUGGACAAUGAAACAUGAACAAAAAUAUAACUUAGUGUGUUUAAUACUUAACCCCUGUUCGUUAUCACCCUAGACUGCCUCCCUAAUGUUUUAAAGCCUUUAAAACAUUUUUUUUUCCUGCAAAUCUGUUCAGAGUUCCCUAAUUUUAGCUUCAUCAAACUUAAUACAACAAAAUACCUUCAAAAAUACAGCAUACCUGUAACGUCCAUUUACAAUGGUUUUCAGUAGACCUAUACUUCUCAAGCAUAGGAAUAUGCUAUACCAUUGAGAGAAAAAAAAUAACUGUAUUUAAAUACUUACAAAAAAAAAAAAAAAAAAAAAAGGAAACAGGAAAGUUUUCAACUUAAAUCCAGUUCCCAAAGGGAGGGGGGGCAGGAAAGAAAGAAAAGCCAUUCUAUGAACGCUGCCUUUAUAAUGAACAAUCAGAAAUUUCACUAGGCUAAUUUGACAGAAAUUUUUUCCUCAUUUAAACAACAUUACAAAAGUCCUGCAUUAUAAAAUAGGGUAGAAUAAAUCAGUGUAAUCAAUAAAACUAUACAACAAUACAAAUUACAUAUCUUCUGAGUGGGCAGUUAAUCUCUCUCUUUGCAGUCAUGACUACAACAUGCUCACUAAAAACAACUAAAACUGCCCAAACUAUUGCUUAGUUUGUUUUGUUUUAAAAAAAAGGGUGCAAUUUUAUUGUAUAUACAACCAAUUUACUGGUAAUACCUUAGCUUAUCGCAAGGUUCUGACAAAAUGUUUGUCUAGGCUUUUUUCCCUUCACUGUGAAGCACUGAAAGCUGCUAUUUUUUUUUCUUUUUUUUUUUUCUUUUUUCUUUUUUUAGUGCACAUAUGUCAUAAUAAAGUAAUGCCCAGCUAAGUGCUAUAGGGGAAGGCAAAGUAUGCUGGCUGGCUAGAGGAAGUGACACCAUAUACUGACAAUCACACCAUACAACAGCGCCAAACGACUAUUCAACCACUUAUCAGACACAUAUGAAAAUCCAAAAUGUUUUAUUUUAUUUUUUUUUCCUUAAAUAGAGAUAACCAGUAAACAAUUUCAGAACUUGGAAGUUUAAAAACGUGCAUAUAAAAAUGGGCAUUAUAUACUUUGUAUUGAAUGUGGAUUGACUGCAGUCUGCUAAGAAAAAUGGGGUGUGGGAGCUGAAGAAAAGGGAAGUUGUCUUUUUUUUUUUUUUUUUAAGGCUUGCUUGUGAAAGGAACAGUUGUAAAAACAAAAUUGCUUGAAGCAGGGUCAGCUUAGUGCUUCACAGUUUGACUGCUUCUCUAAGAGGAGCCCUUCCUGCGCACGUGCAUUCAAAAAUCACAAAAAAAA
Non-coding RNA from Sus scrofa (pig), 5829 nucleotides. NCBI's taxonomy places the organism in Eukaryota, Metazoa, Chordata, Mammalia, Artiodactyla, Suidae. The record is from RefSeq and is a predicted model, not a curated record.